UGGGGAAUAUUGCACAAUGGGCGGAAGCCUGAUGCAGCAACGCCGCGUGCGGGAUGACGGCCUUCGGGUUGUAAACCGCUUUCGCCUGUGACGAAGCGUGAGUGACGGUAAUGGGUAAAGAAGCACCGGCUAACUACGUGCCAGCAGCCGCGGUGAUACGUAGGGUGCGAGCGUUGUCCGGAUUUAUUGGGCGUAAAGGGCUCGUAGGUGGUUGAUCGCGUCGGAAGUGUAAUCUUGGGGCUUAACCCUGAGCGUGCUUUCGAUACGGGUUGACUUGAGGAAGGUAGGGGAGAAUGGAAUUCCUGGUGGAGCGGUGGAAUGCGCAGAUAUCAGGAGGAACACCAGUGGCGAAGGCGGUUCUCUGGGCCUUUCCUGACGCUGAGGAGCGAAAGCGUGGGGAGCGAACAGGCUUAGAUACCCUGGUAGUCCACGCUGUAAACGGUGGGUACUAGGUGUGGGGUCCAUUCCACGGGUUCCGCGCCGUAGCUAACGCUUUAAGUACCCCGCCUGGGGAGUACGGCCGCAAGGCUAAAACUUAAAUGAAUUGACGGGGUCAUAGCUGUUUCCU
RNAcentral lists this ribosomal RNA (568 nucleotides) under uncultured bacterium. Its description in RNAcentral is "partial 16S ribosomal RNA". It matches the Rfam family "Bacterial small subunit ribosomal RNA", at positions 355 to 1375 of the family's 1533-position model. The record is from RNAcentral.